This 467-nucleotide ribosomal RNA is filed under the name uncultured bacterium. Its description in RNAcentral is "partial 16S ribosomal RNA". It matches the Rfam family "Bacterial small subunit ribosomal RNA", at positions 28 to 507 of the family's 1533-position model. The record is from RNAcentral.
GAUGAACGCUGGCGGCGUGCUUAACACAUGCAAGUCGAACGAUGAAGCCCAGCUUGCUGGGUGGAUUAGUGGCGAACGGGUGAGUAACACGUGAGUAACCUGCCCUUCACUCUGGGAUAAGCCUGGGAAACUGGGUCUAAUACCGGAUACGACCAUUGCCCGCAUGGGGUGGUGGUGGAAAGCUUUUGUGGUUUUGGAUGGACUCGCGGCCUAUCUGCUUGUUGGUGAGGUAAUGGCUCACCAAGGCGACGACGGGUAGCCGGCCUGAGAGGGUGACCGGCCACACUGGGACUGAGAAACGGCCCAGACUCCUACGGGAGGCAGCAGUGGGGAAUAUUGCACAAUGGGCGAAAGCCUGAUGCAGCGACGCCGCGUGAGGAAUGACGGCCUUCGGGUUGUAAACCUCUUUCAGUAGGGAAGAAGCGAGAGUGACGGUACCUGCAGAAGAAGCGCCGGCUAACUACGUG